Molecule: ribosomal RNA, 578 nt
Filed under: uncultured bacterium
Lineage: Bacteria
Description: bacterial SSU rRNA
Rfam family: Bacterial small subunit ribosomal RNA
Source: RNAcentral
CCUACGGGAGGCAGCAGUGAGGAGUAUUGGUCAAUGGGCGAGAGCCUGAACCAGCCAAGUCGCGUGAAGGAUGACUGUCUUAUGGAUUGUAAACUUCUUUUAUACGGGAAUAACAAGAGUCACGUGUGACUCCCUGCAUGUACCGUAUGAAUAAGCAUCGGCUAACUCCGUGCCAGCAGCCGCGGUAAUACGGAGGAUGCGAGCGUUAUCCGGAUUUAUUGGGUUUAAAGGGUGCGUAGGCGGUUUGUUAAGUCAGCGGUGAAAUCUAGAGGCUCAACCUCGAAACUGCCGUUGAAACUGGCGAACUUGAGUGUAGAUGAGGUAGGCGGAAUUCGUGGUGUAGCGGUGAAAUGCAUAGAUAUCACGAGGAACUCCAAUUGCGAAGGCAGCUUACUAAGGUACAACUGACGCUGAAGCACGAAAGCGUGGGUAUCAAACAGGAUUAGAUACCCUGGUAGUCCACGCAGUAAACGAUGAUAACUGGGCGUAUGCGAUAUACAGUAUGCUCCUAAGCGAAAGCGUUAAGUUAUCCUCCUGGGGAGUACGCCGGCAACGGUGAAACUCAAAGGAAUUGACGG